Pecten maximus is the source of this 1015-nucleotide long non-coding RNA. RefSeq lists it as uncharacterized. The record is from RefSeq and is a predicted model, not a curated record. The transcript has 2 exons. NCBI's taxonomy places the organism in Eukaryota, Metazoa, Mollusca, Bivalvia, Pectinida, Pectinidae.
UUUGCCCCGGGGCAUCUGAACUCUGUUUAUACGUUAGGUAAUACACCAGACGAGGGCAAACGACCUAUACUUGGUUUACAGUGGUCAGUGAUAAUGUCCGCGUGUGACACAUGUAAUUUUUGAUACAUUUCCCUGGAAACGAAGAUAGGAUUGGUUGAUAAACAUUACCUUUUCCAGCUGGCUGUAAAACUCCCAUUUUACUCCUCGAAAUCCCAUUACUGUUCAUCAAGGAUAUCCUGUAUGAUAUGGCGAUAGGUAAAAUCGCCGGUGUGAUGUAUGCACAGUCGAUGUCGCCGGAGAGGUGCAUGGCGUUACCUUGGUGUAUGCUAAUUACGUUGUGUUUGAAGCGUUACUUUUUAACAAUCCAGCAGGCCUGUUGUUAUUACAGUGAGAAAACAUUAAAUGGAUGUCAUCUCCUUUCGAGGCCACACAUACGGACCGAGCACUUCGUGACGAAUAUAUAUGGUCACACACCACUGAAAACUGGCACAUCUCUAUCACACGCUGGUAUUAAAAGGGCGGGGCUUGAACCCGACUUCCCUUUAUCAACCAACACCUUCGAUGCUUAGUUACCUACGUGUUGUGAACCAAUGCAAACAGCUGUAUCUCAUUUUAAAAUGAACCAUUUUGUUGAUUCGAUAUAUAUCUUUGAAUAUUUUAUGGAAACUCACACGUGAAAAAUAGUGCAAAAUUUGUUUAUAAUGCUCAUAUUUAACAUUUAGAUAUAAUACAGGCGUCUUUGCAUUUUGCAAAAGUCAUCUAUAAUCGGUCUGUUCAUCCAGAUGACAGUACCUUGUAUCAAUAAUCUGUUCACGCGUGUAACACGGUGAUGAUGCUUUGGAAAAAAAUGCCGACCAAGGGAGCCGCGACUCACCGAGACCUGUACGGACAGGACAUUUACGUUCGCAAGGUAUUCAGCAUAGGAGUAAAUGAAAAUGGUUCAUUUACUAUUUAAUAUAUGAUAAAAUGGAGAAUAGCAAUUUCCCUUUUUAUUGAAUGAUAAAGUGAGUUUGAC